GUAAAAUACUGAGGUAGCCAUUUUUCCAAUAGUUUCUUAUGAGAAACCAACUGCCUCGACGGAUAUAUUAUCGAAUACAUAUGUUAAAAACACCUUGAGGAUGGAUCCUAAACAACGUUUGCCGUGUUUCUGUCGAUAUUAUGGAGUUAAUUUUGAAAAAAGUUUGGCGUUGUAAUGGUAGCAUUUUCCGGUCGAUUUCUCAGCCAAGCAUGAUGAACAAACGGGAGCUAUUUCGCCUACAAAAAUAAUAUUUUUGGAAAAAAGGAACAUUUGCUAUCUAACUGGGAGUCUCCUGAGUGAAAGCAUCCGAAGUUCUUUAAAGUGGCAGGGACUGGGAGACUAGUCGGGAUUGACGGAAAGAUGAACGGAGCAAAGUACAGAGAGAUCCUAGAGGAAAACCUGUUCCAGAGCACUGAGGACCUCAGACUGGGACGAAGACGGUGUUCUCUAUCUUCAGACCAGUGGUUAUCCUAGCUCACCCACUUCAAUCAUCUUCUCGUAGUCUAUCAUCGUGGGGGAUGCAAACCCCAUGCUCAGACAGACAGACAGACCCCAGGUCUCGAGUCAAGGAAGGAUUGGACCAAAACGCAUCCUGCCGCACUUUGUGUCCUUCCCCUCACCCUGAUCUGGGCGCGAACCAGGGACGCUCUGCACACAGACAACAGUCACCCUCGAAGCAUCGUUACCCAUCACGCCACAAAAGCCACGGCCCUUGCAGAGCAAGGGGAACCACUACUUCAAGGUCAUCAUCGCCUGCUCUGACCACAUUGGUGAACCACCUGUUGUUAAAAUGUGGUGACGGAUGAAUUGAAAGACCUACAG
Long non-coding RNA from Oncorhynchus tshawytscha (Chinook salmon), 822 nucleotides. NCBI's taxonomy places the organism in Eukaryota, Metazoa, Chordata, Actinopteri, Salmoniformes, Salmonidae. The record is from Ensembl.